ACUCCUACGGGAGGCAGCAGUAAGGAAUAUUGCGCAAUGGGCGAAAGCCUGACGCAGCGACGCCGCGUGGGGGAUGAAGGUCUUCGGAUUGUAAACCCUUUCGGUCAGGGAAGGAUGGGCGGGCAACCGCUCGGACGGUACCUGCAGAAGCAGCCACGGCUAACUUCGGUGCCAGCAGCCGCGGUAAUACGAAGGUGGCAAGCGUUGUUCGGAUUUAUUGGGCGUACAGGGAGCGUAGGGCGGUUAGGUAAGCCCUUCGUGAAAUCUCCGGGCCUAACCCGGAAAGUGCGGGGG
Molecule: ribosomal RNA, 294 nt
Filed under: uncultured bacterium
Lineage: Bacteria
Description: partial 16S ribosomal RNA
Rfam family: Bacterial small subunit ribosomal RNA
Source: RNAcentral